UACAGAGGGGGCAAGCGUUGUUCGGAAUUACUGGGCGUAAAGGGCGCGUAGGCGGCCUGUUAAGUCAGACGUGAAAUCCCUCGGCUCAACCGGGGAACUGCGUCUGAUACUGGCGGGCUUGAAUUCGGGAGAGGGAUGCGGAAUUCCAGGUGUAGCGGUGAAAUGCGUAGAUAUCUGGAGGAACACCGGUGGCGAAGGCGGCAUCCUGGACCGACAUUGACGCUGAGGCGCGAAAGCCAGGGGAGCAAACGGG
RNAcentral lists this ribosomal RNA (253 nucleotides) under uncultured bacterium. RNAcentral's name for it is "partial 16S ribosomal RNA". It matches the Rfam family "Bacterial small subunit ribosomal RNA", at positions 524 to 776 of the family's 1533-position model. The record is from RNAcentral.